CCAGCUUCCUUUGCCAAUCUGGCUUAGAUCAAGUGUAGUAUCUGUUCUUCCGUAGCUUAACAGCUCGGAUGUGUUCUACGGAACACAUAACACAAAACUGUUAACUUGUUUUUGAACUCGCCGUUGGUCUGCCCAUCCGCUGAGCUUGCUUGGUGGAGGGGCGCUGGCAUGGUGUCCGAGGCCUUACACUGCUGCCUUGUGAUGCUGAGGCCUG
RNAcentral lists this small nuclear RNA (214 nucleotides) under Cyphellophora europaea CBS 101466. Its description in RNAcentral is "U2 spliceosomal RNA". It matches the Rfam family "U2 spliceosomal RNA". From Rfam's summary of the family: U2 is a small nuclear RNA (snRNA) component of the spliceosome (involved in pre-mRNA splicing). Complementary binding between U2 snRNA (in an area lying towards the 5' end but 3' to hairpin I) and the branchpoint sequence (BPS) of the intron results the bulging out of an unpaired adenosine, on the BPS, which initiates a nucleophilic attack at the intronic 5' splice site, thus starting the first of two transesterification reactions that mediate splicing. The record is from Rfam by way of RNAcentral. Lineage: Eukaryota; Fungi; Ascomycota; Eurotiomycetes; Chaetothyriales; Cyphellophoraceae.